GACGAACGCUUGCGACGUGCCUAAGAAAUGCAAGUCGAACGGGGGGAGCAAUCCCCUAGUGGCGAACGGUCGCGUAACACGUGGGCAACCUGCCCUGAAGCGGGGGACAACAAGCCGAAAGGUUUGCUAAUACCGCAUGCGGAUCGCCUCGGCAUCGAGGAUUAUCCAAAGCCGCAAGGCACUUCAGGAUGGGCCCGCGGCCUAUCAGCUUGUUGGUGGGGUAACGGCCUACCAAGGCGACGACGGGUAGCUGGUCUGAGAGGACGAUCAGCCGGAU
Molecule: ribosomal RNA, 277 nt
Filed under: uncultured bacterium
Lineage: Bacteria
Description: partial 16S ribosomal RNA
Rfam family: Bacterial small subunit ribosomal RNA
Source: RNAcentral